UCCGACUCAGAUCUUCUCCUCUGCUCCCAUUGCCUUCUCCACUGCUCCUAUUGUUGCUGCUUUUCAUAUAUCUAGUUCAAGGAUUGGCUGGAGAAGACGAAGAAGGAUUGACAAAUAAACGAUUGGCUUUUCGUAUUUAUGGAUCUGAUGGUGAUGUGCAGGUGAGGAAGAAGCUUUAUGUGCCGCAAGUAGAGGACAAGAAUAGUCACAUGAGAAUGCUCAACAUCUCGUGUUGAUGAUCUGGUUGCGAAUUCGAUGGAUAUUUUAAAAGCGGCUGCGGUGGAUGCCAAUGGAAAUGAAUGCGAAGACGUUUUACAGGCAAGGUGAUGAAGUUGAUUUGUUCCUCUAACCAGCAAAUCAUGCUCAAGUGAGGGAGGCAGAUCAAGCAGAAACACAAGCAAUGCAACUUGCAGAGUGAGUUGAUGGCUGCGAAGUCUACUGGAGCUCAGCAAUGAGGAGUUAGAGAUAGUCAAAGCUGGUGCAGCUCAGCAAAAUGAAGAAUUAGAGGCAGUGAAGGCUAAAGCCGCUGCACAAAAUGAAGAGUUGGAGGCACUAAAGGCAAGACAAAAUCAUACCGACAUACUUUUACUUAAAUUGAUGGUGCCGUUAUCCUCCCAAAACUAAUGAUUGGUCUAAGCUUAAAAAAAGUACAUCUUGCAAACUAUCAUUGAAGGCCGCCUUAUUGAACUUCUAGAAAGACUUGAAUGAAUGUGAGCAGUUAGAAGGAAUGAGGACAACAAAUGAAAUGGAAUAUGGAAGAGAAAUUUCAAACCAACCAAAGCAACAUCUUGAUCAGCCUUGUCUUCACAACAUCAACAAGGCAUCCUAACGGAGACAGAGAUAGCCCUGGCCAAUGCGCCACAAAUCUUGUGGUGGAUGGGCUCCUCAAGUACUGAAAGGAAAAAUAGAGGAAGACCAUUGUCGCCAAAGAGACCACUAGCAGCCUAGCUGUACAAGAAUCAGAACCAGAAAGAGGUAGUUCCUGUAGCAUAAGAUGAAUACAACUCGUUACGGUAUAUGUAUUUUCCACAUAUCUCAUAACUUAUAAAUACUCUCUGCUAUAGAGUAUAAACUAAUAAUCCUUGACAAAAGAUAAAAAAUAAAGUAAAAACUAAUCACAACUUGAAUUAAUGUCAUCACAUUGUUAUUGUUACUAUGUUGGUUGUAGCAUGAUCAACCUUGAAUAUGGGAGUGAUGAAUCUAAACUAUUGGAUUAUAAGA
Long non-coding RNA from Rosa chinensis, 1221 nucleotides. RefSeq lists it as uncharacterized. NCBI's taxonomy places the organism in Eukaryota, Viridiplantae, Streptophyta, Magnoliopsida, Rosales, Rosaceae. The transcript is spliced from 7 exons. The record is from RefSeq and is a predicted model, not a curated record.